GGGUUGUGAGGUUAAGCGACUAAGCGUACACGGUGGAUGCCCUGGCAGUCAGAGGCGAUGAAGGGCGUGCUAAUCUGCGAUAAGCGCCGGUAAGGUGAUAUGAACCGUUAUAACCGGCGAUACCCGAAUGGGGAAACCCAGUGUGACUCGUCACACUAUCAUUAACUGAAUCCAUAGGUUAAUGAGGCGAACCGGGGGAACUGAAACAUCUAAGUACCCCGAGGAAAAGAAAUCAACCGAGAUUCCCCCAGUAGCGGCGAGCGAACGGGGAGGAGCCCAGAGCCUGAAUCAGCAUGUGUGUUAGUGGAAGCGUCUGGAAAGGCGCGCGAUACAGGGUGACAGCCCCGUACACAAAAGCGCACAUGCUGUGAGCUCGAUGAGUAGGGCGGGACACGUGGUAUCCUGUCUGAAUAUGGGGGGACCAUCCUCCAAGGCUAAAUACUCCUGACUGACCGAUAGUGAACCAGUACCGUGAGGGAAAGGCGAAAAGAACCCCGGCGAGGGGAGUGAAAAAGAACCUGAAACCGUGUACGUACAAGCAGUGGGAGCACCCUUUGGGGUGUGACUGCGUACCUUUUGU
RNAcentral lists this ribosomal RNA (580 nucleotides) under Salmonella enterica subsp. enterica serovar Montevideo. RNAcentral describes it as "partial 23S ribosomal RNA". It matches the Rfam family "Bacterial large subunit ribosomal RNA", at positions 1 to 611 of the family's 2925-position model. Lineage: Bacteria; Pseudomonadati; Pseudomonadota; Gammaproteobacteria; Enterobacterales; Enterobacteriaceae. The record is from RNAcentral.